CCUACGGGAGGCUGCCGUGGGGAAUAUUGGACAAUGGGGGCAACCCUGAUCCAGCCAUGCCGCGUGUGUGAAGAAGGCCCUCGGGUUGUAAAGCACUUUCAGUGAGGAAGAACGCCUGGUGGUUAAUACCCAUCAGGAAAGACAUCACUCACAGAAGAAGCACCGGCUAACUCCGUGCCAGCAGCCGCGGUAAUACGGAGGGUGCGAGCGUUAAUCGGAAUUACUGGGCGUAAAGCGCGCGUAGGUGGCUUGAUAAGCCGGUUGUGAAAGCCCCGGGCUCAACCUGGGAACGGCAUCCGGAACUGUCAAGCUAGAGUGCAGGAGAGGAAGGUAGAAUUCCCGGUGUAGCGGUGAAAUGCGUAGAGAUCGGGAGGAAUACCAGUGGCGAAGGCGGCCUUCUGGACUGACACUGACACUGAGGUGCGAAAGCGUGGGUAGCAAACAGGAUUAGAUACCCGAGUAGUC
This 465-nucleotide ribosomal RNA is filed under the name Vreelandella stevensii. RNAcentral's name for it is "partial 16S ribosomal RNA". It matches the Rfam family "Bacterial small subunit ribosomal RNA", at positions 338 to 795 of the family's 1533-position model. The record is from RNAcentral. Lineage: Bacteria; Pseudomonadati; Pseudomonadota; Gammaproteobacteria; Oceanospirillales; Halomonadaceae.